GACGAACGCUGGCGGCGUGCUUAACACAUGCAAGUCGAACGGAAAGGCCCUGCUUUUGUGGGGUGCUCGAGUGGCGAACGGGUGAGUAACACUUGAGUCACCUGCCCUUUACUUUGGGAUAACUUCUGGAAACUUGGGUUAAUACCGGAUAGGAGCUCCUGCUGCAUGGUUGGGGUUGGAAAGUUUCGGCGGUUGGGGAUGUACUCUCGGCUUAUCAGCUUGUUGGUGGGGUAGUGGCUUACCAAGGCUUUGACGGGUAGCCGGCCUGAGAGGGUGACCGGCCACAUUGGGACUGAGAUACGGCCCAGACUGCUACGGGAGGCAGCAGUGGGGAAUAUUGCACAAUGGGCGGAAGCCUGAUGCAGCAACGCCGCGUGCGGGAUGACGGCCUUCGGGUUGUAAACCGCUUUAGCCUGUGACGAAGCGUGAGUGACGGUAAUGGGUAAAGAAGCACCGGCUAACUACGUG
This 468-nucleotide ribosomal RNA is filed under the name uncultured bacterium. RNAcentral's name for it is "partial 16S ribosomal RNA". It matches the Rfam family "Bacterial small subunit ribosomal RNA", at positions 28 to 507 of the family's 1533-position model. The record is from RNAcentral.